GGCUCCUGCUUUGCCUUCCGCCAUGAUUGUUUCCUGAGGCCUCCCCGGAAGCAGAGGACGUGCUGCCAGGCUUUCUGUACAGCCUGCAAAACUUGGGCCCAGUAGAAUCACAAGGGUCCUCAAGGAGAGUCAGAGAAGGAGAUAUGAUGGCAGAAGCCAGAGUCAGAGUGUGGCCUGAGCAAGACUCCAUUAACAAUUGCUCACUCUGAAGACGGAAAGAGCCACGAGCCAAGGACUUCAGGCAGCACAGUGCCUGGCAUCAUCAAUCGGUACUAGUGCUCAGUGAUUUCCAAAUUUUGACUGAAUCAACAGAGCAACCCUCUGAGGAUGGUGCUAGAACUCUUCAUAUUUUGUAGAUGAGGAAAUGGUGGCAUAGAGAGGAAAGCCACAUGCUCCAUCAUAAAUAGCCCUAUGGAGAGGCCCAUAUGAUGAGGAACUGAAGCCCCUGAGCAAGAGCCGGCAAAGAAUUGAGGCCUCUCCCAACAGCUACAUUAGAGGGCUUGAAAGCAGACUCUCCAGUUUCAGUCCAACGUUCAGAUGACUGCAACUCUGGGCAAUAGCCUCCUUGCAACCUCAUGAGACCCUGUGAGAGAACUACCCAGCUUGGCUGCUCUCAAAUUCUCAACCCUCAGUAACGACCUUCAGUCAGAGGAAAGCAAACUAUGAUGGUCCGUGAAUGAGUAAUAGAUGACCGAGAAGGAGUGUGAGCUUCUCAUUCAAUGAAUACUGCAGAGGUUUCUGAAGACUUGAGCUCUAUGUAUCUGCUUCAUCAAUUACAUUAUUCCUUCAAAGGAAACA
Cercocebus atys (sooty mangabey) is the source of this 798-nucleotide long non-coding RNA. RefSeq lists it as uncharacterized. The transcript is spliced from 5 exons. The record is from RefSeq and is a predicted model, not a curated record. NCBI's taxonomy places the organism in Eukaryota, Metazoa, Chordata, Mammalia, Primates, Cercopithecidae.